CGCGUAGGCGGUGAGAUGUGUGUGAUGUGGAAAGCCCCGGGCUUAACCUGGGAAGUGCAUCGCAAACUAUUUGACUAGAGUAGAUGAGAGGGUGGCGGAAUUUCCGGUGUAGCGGUGAAAUGCGUAGAGAUCGGAAGGAACGUCAAUGGCGAAGGCAGCCACCUGGCAUCAUACUGACGCUGAGGCGCGAAAGCGUGGGGAGCGAACA
Molecule: ribosomal RNA, 208 nt
Filed under: uncultured bacterium
Lineage: Bacteria
Description: partial 16S ribosomal RNA
Rfam family: Bacterial small subunit ribosomal RNA
Source: RNAcentral